Molecule: ribosomal RNA, 474 nt
Filed under: Triticum aestivum (bread wheat)
Lineage: Eukaryota; Viridiplantae; Streptophyta; Magnoliopsida; Poales; Poaceae
Description: partial small subunit ribosomal RNA
Source: RNAcentral
AUGCUCAAGUUCUUGUCCAGGGUGGUGGUGGAGUACAACCCCCUGGACCCGCGCAAGGCGGCGGCCGUGGAGCUCCUCGCGCAGUGCAACGGCCGCAAGGCCAAGGACUCCAACCCCACCUGCUCCGUCGAGUUGCGGCGCCUGCCCUCCUCGGCCGCGGUCUAGGACCCCAAGGCCCAGCCGCUCCCGCGCGUCCUCGUGACCUACCUCAACGACGUCGAUGAGGCCUUCGUCGCUGCUGACGGCGCCACUCCACAGGGCAUGCGCGACCAGAUCCUCGCCCGCGGCCGCCUCCUCGAGACCGAGCAGCUCUUCCGUGAGGCCGGGAAGAAGUGGCAUGUCGUCAUCCCCGAGGAGGAGCUCGGCAUGUCAUUCCCUAGUAUCAAGGUGCCUCUUCUACUCUGUUCUGUUCAACUUCACUUUCUGUCGAACACCUUGCAUGCGAGCCUUGGCGUAUCUCACACCUUGCAUUGA